This is an RNA transcript of Zophobas morio, 738 nucleotides long. RefSeq lists it as uncharacterized. The transcript has 2 exons. NCBI's taxonomy places the organism in Eukaryota, Metazoa, Arthropoda, Insecta, Coleoptera, Tenebrionidae. The record is from RefSeq and is a predicted model, not a curated record.
CGUAUCUGCUAAUUUCAAAGUUAAUUUAGUAUUUAUAGUUUCCAAAACGGAUAAUUUUUAUCUACAAAAGUCCGUGAUAAAAAAGUAUGUACACAUGUAUUUUAUCGACAGAAAUAUAUAACGAUUGUUACAUCAGAGCAAGUACCAUUUGCGUAGUACAUCUUGACCUUCUGCUACAUCUAAAUCCUGUUACUGUGACUGCACUAUGGAUUUAGUAGCACUACUUCUUGUUGUAAAUCUCGCAUUUGCACAUAGCUCAUGCAACAAAGAAAAUGAACUGUACCUCAUAAGAAGUGGACAUUCCAAUAAUUUGAUGUUGGAUGCAACUGACCCUAAUCAAGUAAAAAUACAACCUUUUACUGGUUCUAGUGCCCAGUUGUGGAAAAUUGUGCGUGCAAGCAGAGCUGGUUAUUUCUAUAUUAUUAAUCACAAUACAAGUAACGCCCUUGACUACCAGUACAGACCAGCACAAAAAAAUCAAUAUCUUCUCAAGAUAGCACCGCUCCUGCACAAUUCACGACAAGAAUAUAUGGUAAACAGGAACGGCCGUCUUUCAAAUGUUUACACAGAACAGAACAUAGACAUCGUAGAUGCUCAAUUUCAACCUGGCACGUUUGUACAGUUAUGGGCUGACAAUGGAGACGAAGCACAAGAGUUUAUUUUAGAGAAAAACAGAUAAAUGUUUGUUUUUUUAUUUCGAAUUUGUCGGACAACUAAGAUUUAAGUGUGUAGUUUUAA